GUGCCCUUAGCUCAGCAGGAUAGAGCAACAGCCUUCUAAGCUGUGGGUCAGAGGUUCGAAUCCUCUAGGGCGCG
RNAcentral lists this transfer RNA (74 nucleotides) under Oceanobacillus chungangensis. RNAcentral describes it as "tRNA-Arg". It matches the Rfam family "tRNA". Rfam says of the family: Transfer RNA (tRNA) molecules are approximately 80 nucleotides in length. Their secondary structure includes four short double-helical elements and three loops (D, anti-codon, and T loops). Further hydrogen bonds mediate the characteristic L-shaped molecular structure. tRNAs have two regions of fundamental functional importance: the anti-codon, which is responsible for specific mRNA codon recognition, and the 3' end, to which the tRNAs corresponding amino acid is attached (by aminoacyl-tRNA synthetases). tRNAs cope with the degeneracy of the genetic code in two manners: having more than one tRNA (with a specific anti-codon) for a particular amino acid; and 'wobble' base-pairing, i.e. permitting non-standard base-pairing at the 3rd anti-codon position. RNAcentral also lists the same sequence under 2 other names. The record is from RNAcentral. Lineage: Bacteria; Bacillati; Bacillota; Bacilli; Caryophanales; Bacillaceae.